This 24-nucleotide non-coding RNA is filed under the name Arabidopsis thaliana (thale cress). The record is from RNAcentral. Lineage: Eukaryota; Viridiplantae; Streptophyta; Magnoliopsida; Brassicales; Brassicaceae.
GAGGUGUGAGUAUCGCCCAUGGGC